AUUGAACGCUGGCGGCAGGCCUAACACAUGCAAGUCGAGCGGAUGAAGGGAGCUUGCUCCUGGAUUCAGCGGCGGACGGGUGAGUAAUGCCUAGGAAUCUGCCCGGUAGUGGGGGAUAACGUCCGGAAACGGGCGCUAAUACCGCAUACGUCCUGAGGGAGAAAGUGGGGGAUCUUCGGACCUCACGCUAUCAGAUGAGCCUAGGUCGGAUUAGCUAGUUGGUGGGGUAAAGGCCUACCAAGGCGACGAUCCGUAACUGGUCUGAGAGGAUGAUCAGUCACACUGGAACUGAGACACGGUCCAGACUCCUACGGGAGGCAGCAGUGGGGAAUAUUGGACAAUGGGCGAAAGCCUGAUCCAGCCAUGCCGCGUGUGUGAAGAAGGUCUUCGGAUUGUAAAGCACUUUAAGUUGGGAGGUAGGGCAGUAAGUUAAUACCUUGCUGUUUUGACGUUACCAACAGAAUAAGCACCGGCUAACUUCGUG
RNAcentral lists this ribosomal RNA (484 nucleotides) under uncultured bacterium. RNAcentral's name for it is "partial 16S ribosomal RNA". It matches the Rfam family "Bacterial small subunit ribosomal RNA", at positions 30 to 507 of the family's 1533-position model. The record is from RNAcentral.